AGUUUGAUCCUGGCUCAGGAUGAACGCUGGCGGCGUGCCUAAUACAUGCAAGUCGAACGAAUCUCUUUUAGAGAUGAGUGGCGAACGGGUGAGUAAUACAUAGGUAACCUGCCCCUGUGCGGGGGAUAACAGGAGGAAACUCCUGCUAAUACCGCAUAGCCAUGAGCACCGCAUGGAGCUCAUGCCAAAUAUCCUUUCGGGGAUAGCGCAGGGAUGGACCUAUGGCGCAUUAGCUGGUUGGCGGGGCAACGGCCCACCAAGGCAACGAUGCGUAGCCGGCCUGAGAGGGCGGACGGCCACAUUGGGACUGAGACACGGCCCAGACUCCUACGGGAGGCAGCAGUAGGGAAUUUUCGGCAAUGGGGGAAACCCUGACCGAGCAACGCCGCGUGAGCGAAGAAGGCCUUCGGGUCGUAAAGCUCUGUUGUAAAGGAAGAACGGCGCAUACAGGAAAUGGUAUGCGAGUGACGGUACUUUACCAGAAAGCCACGGCUAACUACGUGCCAGCAGCCGCGGUAAUACGUAGGUGGCGAGCGUUAUCCGGAAUCAUUGGGCGUAAAGAGGGAGCAGGCGGCCGCAAGGGUCUGUGGUGAAAGACCGAAGCUAAACUUCGGUAAGCCAUGGAAACCGGGCGGCUAGAGUGCGGAAGAGGAUCGUGGAAUUCCAUGUGUAGCGGUGAAAUGCGUAGAUAUAUGGAGGAACACCAGUGGCGAAGGCGACGGUCUGGGCCGCAACUGACGCUCAUUCCCGAAAGCGUGGGGAGCAAAUAGGAUUAGAUACCCUAGUAGUCCACGCCGUAAACGAUGGUCACUAAGUGUCGGGGGUCAAACCCCGGUGCUGCAGUCAACGCAAUAAGUGACCCGCCUGAGUAGUACGUUCGCAAGAAUGAAACUCAAAGGAAUU
Molecule: ribosomal RNA, 903 nt
Filed under: uncultured bacterium
Lineage: Bacteria
Description: bacterial SSU rRNA
Rfam family: Bacterial small subunit ribosomal RNA
Source: RNAcentral